AACAAGGCGUACCUGCGGACCUGCGGAAGGAUCAUUACCGAGUUUACAAACUCCCAACCCUAUGUGAACCUUACCAAUCGUUGCUUCGGCGGGCUUAGCCCCCGCGCCCUCGCCGGCGCCGGGAGAAAGGCGCCCGCCGGGGACCCCAAACCCAAUGUUUUUCAUGCAGUAUUUCUGAGUGGCAAACGCAAAAAUAAAUCAAAACUUUUAACAAUGGAUCU
RNAcentral lists this unclassified non-coding RNA (221 nucleotides) under soil metagenome. RNAcentral describes it as "partial contains 5.8S ribosomal RNA, internal transcribed spacer 2, and large subunit ribosomal RNA". The record is from RNAcentral.